RNAcentral lists this transfer RNA (73 nucleotides) under Felis catus (domestic cat). It matches the Rfam family "tRNA". Rfam says of the family: Transfer RNA (tRNA) molecules are approximately 80 nucleotides in length. Lineage: Eukaryota; Metazoa; Chordata; Mammalia; Carnivora; Felidae. The record is from Rfam by way of RNAcentral. RNAcentral also lists the same sequence under 1 other name.
GCCUGGCUGGUUUAGUUGGUAGAGCAUAUGACUCUCGAUCUUGGGGUUGUGAGUUCGAGCCCCAGGUUGGGCG